This 528-nucleotide ribosomal RNA is filed under the name uncultured bacterium. Its description in RNAcentral is "bacterial SSU rRNA". It matches the Rfam family "Bacterial small subunit ribosomal RNA", at positions 777 to 1312 of the family's 1533-position model. The record is from RNAcentral.
AAUAGAUACCCAGGUAGUCCACGCCGUAAACGAUGGAUACUAGCUGUUGGGGGGCAACUUCAGUGGCUAAGCGAAAGUGAUAAGUAUCCCACCUGGGGAGUACGAACGCAAGUUUGAAACUCAAAGGAAUUGACGGGGGCCCGCACAAGCGGUGGAGCAUGUGGUUUAAUUCGAUGAUACGCGAGGAACCUUACCAAGGCUUAAAUGCAGACUGACCGAUUUGGAAACAGAUCUUUCGCAAGACAGUUUACAAGGUGCUGCAUGGUUGUCGUCAGCUCGUGCCGUGAGGUGUCAGGUUAAGUCCUAUAACGAGCGCAACCCCUGUCGUUAGUUGCCAGCGAGUCAUGUCGGGAACUCUAACAAGACUGCCAGUGCAAACUGUGAGGAAGGUGAGGAUGACGUCAAAUCAUCACGGCCCUUACGCCUUGGGCUACACACGUGCUACAAUGGCCGGUACAGAGAGCAGCCACCUCGCGAGGGGGANCGAAUCUAUAAAGCCGGUCACAGUUCGGAUCGGAGUCUGCUAAC